This 343-nucleotide long non-coding RNA is filed under the name Mytilus galloprovincialis (Mediterranean mussel). The record is from RNAcentral. Lineage: Eukaryota; Metazoa; Mollusca; Bivalvia; Mytilida; Mytilidae.
GUUUUAUGUAAUGAAAAAAAAAUACCAAGAUAGUGUUAAUAUAAUAAAUUCUUGUUAAAAACAAUAAAGAAAAAGAAAAGUAACCUUAUUCAACAACCGAUGAUUCAUAACGAAGGUUUAUCGCCAACAACGAUAACAACACAUGCAAUGCAUUUGCCAAAUGAACUAUAAAGUCCAAAUUAUCCUGCUUUACCAUCGUACGGUUUUAUAAAACAUACAAACGGAUGUAUAUUUUCUUUUGACAGCAGAUGUUAUGUUCUGGAUAACGUCAGCAGCAGAUGGAAAAUUAUUUUCCGAGAGUUUAAAGUCCAAAAAGAUAAAAAUGUCCAUGGUUUACUGAAAG